This 2267-nucleotide ribosomal RNA is filed under the name Salmonella enterica subsp. enterica serovar Bareilly str. CFSAN000188. RNAcentral's name for it is "bacterial LSU rRNA". It matches the Rfam family "Bacterial large subunit ribosomal RNA", at positions 593 to 2840 of the family's 2925-position model. The record is from RNAcentral. Lineage: Bacteria; Pseudomonadati; Pseudomonadota; Gammaproteobacteria; Enterobacterales; Enterobacteriaceae.
GUGACUGCGUACCUUUUGUAUAAUGGGUCAGCGACUUAUAUUCUGUAGCAAGGUUAACCGAAUAGGGGAGCCGGAGGGAAACCGAGUCUUAAUUGGGCGUUAAGUUGCAGGGUAUAGACCCGAAACCCGGUGAUCUAGCCAUGGGCAGGUUGAAGGUUGGGUAACACUAACUGGAGGACCGAACCGACUAAUGUUGAAAAAUUAGCGGAUGACCUGUGGCUGGGGGUGAAAGGCCAAUCAAACCGGGAGAUAGCUGGUUCUCCCCGAAAGCUAUUUAGGUAGCGCCUCGUGAAUUCAUCUCCGGGGGUAGAGCACUGUUUCGGCUAGGGGGCCAUCCCGGCUUACCAACCCGAUGCAAACUGCGAAUACCGGAGAAUGUUAUCACGGGAGACACACGGCGGGUGCUAACGUCCGUCGUGAAGAGGGAAACAACCCAGACCGCCAGCUAAGGUCCCAAAGUCAUGGUUAAGUGGGAAACGAUGUGGGAAGGCCCAGACAGCCAGGAUGUUGGCUUAGAAGCAGCCAUCAUUUAAAGAAAGCGUAAUAGCUCACUGGUCGAGUCGGCCUGCGCGGAAGAUGUAACGGGGCUAAACCAUGCACCGAAGCUGCGGCAGCGACGUUUAUGCGUUGUUGGGUAGGGGAGCGUUCUGUAAGCCUGCGAAGGUGGCCUGUGAGGGUUGCUGGAGGUAUCAGAAGUGCGAAUGCUGACAUAAGUAACGAUAAAGCGGGUGAAAAGCCCGCUCGCCGGAAGACCAAGGGUUCCUGUCCAACGUUAAUCGGGGCAGGGUGAGUCGACCCCUAAGGCGAGGCCGAAAGGCGUAGUCGAUGGGAAACGGGUUAAUAUUCCCGUACUUGGUGUUACUGCGAAGGGGGGACGGAGAAGGCUAUGUUGGCCGGGCGACGGUUGUCCCGGUUUAAGCGUGUAGGCUGGUUUUCCAGGCAAAUCCGGAAAAUCAAGGCUGAGGCGUGACGACGAGGCACUACGGUGCUGAAGCAACAAAUGCCCUGCUUCCAGGAAAAGCCUCUAAGCAUCAGGUAACAUCAAAUCGUACCCCAAACCGACACAGGUGGUCAGGUAGAGAAUACCAAGGCGCUUGAGAGAACUCGGGUGAAGGAACUAGGCAAAAUGGUGCCGUAACUUCGGGAGAAGGCACGCUGACACGUAGGUGAAGUGAUUUACUCAUGGAGCUGAAGUCAGUCGAAGAUACCAGCUGGCUGCAACUGUUUAUUAAAAACACAGCACUGUGCAAACACGAAAGUGGACGUAUACGGUGUGACGCCUGCCCGGUGCCGGAAGGUUAAUUGAUGGGGUCAGCGCAAGCGAAGCUCCUGAUCGAAGCCCCGGUAAACGGCGGCCGUAACUAUAACGGUCCUAAGGUAGCGAAAUUCCUUGUCGGGUAAGUUCCGACCUGCACGAAUGGCGUAAUGAUGGCCAGGCUGUCUCCACCCGAGACUCAGUGAAAUUGAACUCGCUGUGAAGAUGCAGUGUACCCGCGGCAAGACGGAAAGACCCCGUGAACCUUUACUAUAGCUUGACACUGAACAUUGAGCCUUGAUGUGUAGGAUAGGUGGGAGGCUUUGAAGCGUGGACGCCAGUCUGCGUGGAGCCGACCUUGAAAUACCACCCUUUAAUGUUUGAUGUUCUAACGUGGACCCGUAAUCCGGGUUGCGGACAGUGUCUGGUGGGUAGUUUGACUGGGGCGGUCUCCUCCUAAAGAGUAACGGAGGAGCACGAAGGUUGGCUAAUCCUGGUCGGACAUCAGGAGGUUAGUGCAAUGGCAUAAGCCAGCUUGACUGCGAGCGUGACGGCGCGAGCAGGUGCGAAAGCAGGUCAUAGUGAUCCGGUGGUUCUGAAUGGAAGGGCCAUCGCUCAACGGAUAAAAGGUACUCCGGGGAUAACAGGCUGAUACCGCCCAAGAGUUCAUAUCGACGGCGGUGUUUGGCACCUCGAUGUCGGCUCAUCACAUCCUGGGGCUGAAGUAGGUCCCAAGGGUAUGGCUGUUCGCCAUUUAAAGUGGUACGCGAGCUGGGUUUAGAACGUCGUGAGACAGUUCGGUCCCUAUCUGCCGUGGGCGCUGGAGAACUGAGGGGGGCUGCUCCUAGUACGAGAGGACCGGAGUGGACGCAUCACUGGUGUUCGGGUUGUCAUGCCAAUGGCACUGCCCGGUAGCUAAAUGCGGAAGAGAUAAGUGCUGAAAGCAUCUAAGCACGAAACUUGCCCCGAGAUGAGUUCUCCCUGAGACUUAGAGUCUCCUGAAGGAACGUUG